CUAUGCAUGCAGUCGAGCGACGCAUGCCGGAGGGGUAACCCACUGGUAUGACGGAGCGGCGAACGGGUGAGUAGCACGUGAGCAACCUGCCCCACAGACCGGAACAGCCCAGGGAAACCUGGAUUAAUGCCGGAUGCCCUCAUCGGACCACAUGGCCUGAUGAGGAAAUGCCUUUGUGCUGUGGGAUGGGCUCGCGGCUUAUCAGCUAGUUGGUGGGGUAACGGCCUACCAAGGCGUCGACGAGUAGCUGGUCUGAGAGGACGAUCAGCCACACUGGGACUGAGAUACGGCCCAGACUCCUACGGGAGGCAGCAGCAGGGAAUCUUGCGCAAUGGGCGAAAGCCUGACGCAGCAACGCCGCGUGGGGGAUGACGGCCUUCGGGUUGUAAACCCCUUUCAGGAGGGAAGAAAUUGACGGUACCUCCAAAAGAAGCACCGGCCAACUACGUGCCAGCAGCCGCGGUAAUACGUAGGGUGCGAGCGUUAUCCGGAAUCAUUGGGCGUAAAGAGCUCGUAGGCGGUUCAGCAAGUCGGCUGUGAAAGUCCGAGGCUCAACCUCGGAACUGCAGUCGAUACUGCUGUGACUCGAGUCCGGUAGAGGAGAAUGGAAUUCCCGGUGUAGCGGUGAAAUGCGCAGAUAUCGGGAGGAACACCAGUAGCGAAGGCGGUUCUCUGGGCCGGUACUGACGCUGAGGAGCGAAAGCAUGGGUAACAAACAGGAUUAGAUACCCUGGUAGUCCAUGCCGUAAACGUUGGACACUAGGUGUGGCGUUCCGAUCAAC
This 782-nucleotide ribosomal RNA is filed under the name uncultured bacterium. RNAcentral describes it as "bacterial SSU rRNA". It matches the Rfam family "Bacterial small subunit ribosomal RNA", at positions 49 to 839 of the family's 1533-position model. The record is from RNAcentral.